ACAAUGAAGAGUUUGAUCCUGGCUCAGGAUGAACGCUAGCUACAGGCUUAACACAUGCAAGUCGAGGGGCAGCAUUUCAGUUUGCUUGCAAACUGGAGAUGGCGACCGGCGCACGGGUGAGUAACACGUAUCCAACCUGCCGAUAACUCGGGGAUAGCCUUUCGAAAGAAAGAUUAAUACCCGAUGGUAUAAUUAGACCGCAUGGUCUUGUUAUUAAAGAAUUUCGGUUAUCGAUGGGGAUGCGUUCCAUUAGGCAGUUGGUGAGGUAACGGCUCACCAAACCUUCGAUGGAUAGGGGUUCUGAGAGGAAGGUCCCCCACAUUGGAACUGAGACACGGUCCAAACUCCUACGGGAGGCAGCAGUGAGGAAUAUUGGUCAAUGGGCGCAGGCCUGAACCAGCCAAGUAGCGUGAAGGAUGACUGCCCUAUGGGUUGUAAACUUCUUUUAUAUGGGAAUAAAGUUUUCCACGUGUGGAAUUUUGUAUGUACCAUAUGAAUAAGGAUCGGCUAACUCCGUGCCAGCAGCCGCGGUAAUACGGAGGAUCCGAGCGUUAUCCGGAUUUAUUGGGUUUAAAGGGAGCGUAGGUGGACAGUUAAGUCAGUUGUGAAAGUUUGCGGCUCAACCGUAAAAUUGCAGUUGAUACUGGCUGUCUUGAGUACAGUAGAGGUGGGCGGAAUUCGUGGUGUAGCGGUGAAAUGCUUAGAUAUCACGAAGAACUCCGAUUGCGAAGGCAGCUCACUGGACUGCAACUGACACUGAUGCUCGAAAGUGUGGGUAUCAAACAGGAUUAGAUACCCUGGUAGUCCACACAGUAAACGAUGAAUACUCGCUGUUUGCGAUAUACAGUAAGCGGCCAAGCGAAAGCAUUAAGUAUUCCACCUGGGGAGUACGCCGGCAACGGUGAAACUCAAAGGAAUUGACGGGGGCCCGCACAAGCGGAGGAACAUGUGGUUUAAUUCGAUGAUACGCGAGGAACCUUACCCGGGCUUAAAUUGCAUUUGAAUAUAUUGGAAACAGUAUAGUUGUAAGACAAAUGUGAAGGUGCUGCAUGGUUGUCGUCAGCUCGUGCCGUNCAGAAGGCAGCUACCUGGUGACAGGAUGCUAAUCCCAAAAGCCUCUCUCAGUUCGGAUCGAAGUCUGCAACCCGACUUCGUGAAGCUGGAUUCGCUAGUAAUCGCGCAUCAGCCAUGGCGCGGUGAAUACGUUCCCGGGCCUUGUACACACCGCCCGUCAAGCCAUGAAAGCCGGGGGUACCUGAAGUACGUAACCGCAAGGAGCGUCCUAGGGUAAAACUGGUAAUUGGGGCUAAGUCGUAACAAGGUAGCCGUACCGGAAGGUGCGGCUGGAACACCUCCUUU
This 1359-nucleotide ribosomal RNA is filed under the name Bacteroides thetaiotaomicron. RNAcentral describes it as "bacterial SSU rRNA". It matches the Rfam family "Bacterial small subunit ribosomal RNA". Lineage: Bacteria; Pseudomonadati; Bacteroidota; Bacteroidia; Bacteroidales; Bacteroidaceae. The record is from RNAcentral.